Lotus japonicus is the source of this 641-nucleotide long non-coding RNA. RefSeq lists it as uncharacterized. The transcript has 3 exons. NCBI's taxonomy places the organism in Eukaryota, Viridiplantae, Streptophyta, Magnoliopsida, Fabales, Fabaceae. The record is from RefSeq and is a predicted model, not a curated record.
CACAGCCACCGCUGGUCACCACCGCCACGCCUCCUUUCAUGAGCGAACCAUCACGUCUUCUCCAAUCUUCAAGGCUGAAGCCAUUUUUCCUCAAAGCUUUCCUUUUUCGUGCUUUUCUCCUCUCACACAAAGAACAAACAAGGGUACGAACAACGAAAACACUUGGCGACGAAGUCAAAGGACAAAAGGAAGCGAGCCGACACGAGAAAGCAAGGAUGUGAUUGGGUUGUAGUUGCAGUUUAGGCAGGAAAUUGGCUAAGGCGAUGGAGAAUCUUCGAAGGAGCUUAACCUUUGUGCAAAUAGAGAUGAGGACUUGAAGGACAGUGGAGUACUCGACGAGUAGAGUCGGGUUUAAGGCUAGAGCCUUGGGUUAGAGAGCUUACCGUUAUUGGUUUAAGCUUGCAUAAAGAUUUUAGGAAUUUAUAUUUGAGGUUUCGGGUAGGUUCCGAUGCAUUACUUUCCUGCGGUUCCCCGAUGUGGAGAUCGUAGGGAGUAUGUCGGAUUCAUGAUGUCAUUGCAGAAUAGUUUUUGUUGAGUUGUUUCUAUUGGUUAGACUUUGUAGUUGGGAGUAUGCAUGACAUGUUUUGGAAAUACAUUUGAAAAGAAAAAAUAUACUCGUGUUUAUACAUUCUUUUGGAAAA